AGGAAGAGAGGAAGGAAAGGGAAGGAAAGGGAAAGGAAAGAAAGGAAGGAAGGAAGGAAGGAAGGAAGGAAGNGAGAGAAAGAGAGAAAGAGAGAAAGAGAGAAAGAAAUUUUAAAGAAAGAAAGAAAGAAAGAAAGAAAGAAAGAAAGAAAGAAAGAAAGAAAGAAAGAAAGAAAGAAAGAAAGAAAGAAAGAAAGAAAGAAAGAAAGAAAGAAAGAAAGAAAGAAAGAAAGAAAGAAAGAAAGAAAGAAAGAAAGAAAGAAAGGGAGAGAAAAGGAGAGAAAAGGAGGGAAAGGGAUAGAGGUGGAGAGAGAGAUUCCUGCGGGGAUGAUUUGGGGACCAGAAGAAUCAUG
This 353-nucleotide long non-coding RNA is filed under the name Monodelphis domestica (gray short-tailed opossum). RNAcentral describes it as "lncRNA (ENSMODG00000045462.1)". Lineage: Eukaryota; Metazoa; Chordata; Mammalia; Didelphimorphia; Didelphidae. The record is from RNAcentral.